UACAGAGGUCUCAAGCGUUGUUCGGAUUCAUUGGGCGUAAAGGGCGCGUAGGCUGCGGGGCAAGUCGGGUGUGAAAUCUCAGAGCUCAACUCUGAAACUGCACUCGAUACUGCUUUGCUUGAGGACUGGAGAGGAGAUUGGAAUUCACGGUGUAGCAGUGAAAUGCGUAGAUAUCGUGAGGAAGACCAGUGGCGAAGGCGGAUCUCUGGACAGUUCCUGACGCUGAGGCGCGAAUGCCAGGGGAGCAAACGGG
Molecule: ribosomal RNA, 253 nt
Filed under: uncultured bacterium
Lineage: Bacteria
Description: partial 16S ribosomal RNA
Rfam family: Bacterial small subunit ribosomal RNA
Source: RNAcentral